Molecule: ribosomal RNA, 798 nt
Filed under: uncultured Mycobacterium sp.
Lineage: Bacteria; Bacillati; Actinomycetota; Actinomycetes; Mycobacteriales; Mycobacteriaceae
Description: bacterial SSU rRNA
Rfam family: Bacterial small subunit ribosomal RNA
Source: RNAcentral
UUACUGGGCGUAAAGAGCUCGUAGGUGGUUUGUCGCGUUGUUCGUGAAAUCUCACGGCUUAACUGUGAGCGUGCGGGCGAUACGGGCAGACUUGAGUACUGCAGGGGAGACUGGAAUUCCUGGUGUAGCGGUGGAAUGCGCAGAUAUCAGGAGGAACACCGGUGGCGAAGGCGGGUCUCUGGGCAGUAACUGACGCUGAGGAGCGAAAGCGUGGGGAGCGAACAGGAUUAGAUACCCUGGUAGUCCACGCCGUAAACGGUGGGUACUAGGUGUGGGUUUCCUUCCUUGGGAUCCGUGCCGUAGCUAACGCAUUAAGUACCCCGCCUGGGGAGUACGGCCGCGAGGCUAAAACUCAAAGAAAUUGACGGGGGCCCGCACAAGCGGCGGAGCAUGUGGAUUAAUUCGAUGCAACGCGAAGAACCUUACCUGGGUUUGACAUGCACAGGACGCCGGCAGAGAUGUCGGUUCCCUUGUGGCCUGUGUGCAGGUGGUGCAUGGCUGUCGUCAGCUCGUGUCGUGAGAUGUUGGGUUAAGUCCCGCAACGAGCGCAACCCUUGUCUCAUGUUGCCAGCGGAUAAUGCCGGGGACUCGUGAGAGACUGCCGGGGUCAACUCGGAGGAAGGUGGGGAUGACGUCAAGUCAUCAUGCCCCUUAUGUCCAGGGCUUCACACAUGCUACAAUGGCCGGUACAAAGGGCUGCGAUGCCGCGAGGUUAAGCGAAUCCUUUUAAAGCCGGUCUCAGUUCGGAUCGGGGUCUGCAACUCGACCCCGUGAAGUCGGAGUCGCUAGUAAUCGCAG